GGCUGGUCUGAAGGUAGUGCGUUAUCUCACUUAAUUGUUCAUAGUCAGUUACAGAUUGAACUCCUUGUUCUGCUACUUUACCCCUCCUCACUACUGCACUUGACUAGUCUAAA
RNAcentral lists this Y RNA (113 nucleotides) under Microcebus murinus (gray mouse lemur). RNAcentral's name for it is "Y RNA (ENSMICG00000045737.1)". It matches the Rfam family "Y RNA". Rfam says of the family: Y RNAs are components of the Ro ribonucleoprotein particle (Ro RNP), in association with Ro60 and La proteins. The Y RNAs and Ro60 and La proteins are well conserved, but the function of the Ro RNP is not known. The record is from Rfam by way of RNAcentral. Lineage: Eukaryota; Metazoa; Chordata; Mammalia; Primates; Cheirogaleidae.